GCAAACAAUCAUCACGUAAAUCACUAGUACGGAAAAAUCUACAAGGCACUCCUAGACAACCAAUAAAUGUAGAGUGUGGCUAUUACAUGAUGGUUCCAUGAGAGAUAUAAUUCGUGAUCCAGGCCUAGCAUUUGAGAAGAAGGUAAAAUUUAAGAUAUAAUUUCUUUAUUUUAAUACCCCGACGUUUUCUUUCAAAACCAUCGUUUUAAUAUUUAUAACAUGUUGGUUUGUGUUCUUUAUUUGCAGUUUGACAAGAAAAAGGAACCAGUUGAGUAUACUCAAGAACAUAUUGACGGCAAAGGACCCGUUAGUAUAGUGGUUUGGAGUAUUUAGUCCCUCAGGCAAGGUCCUGGGUUUGAGUCCUAUCAUCCAUGUUGUAUGUGUGAGUUUAAUAUGCUAUCGCCCCUUUCAAUAGGAAAGGUCCUCAAAAAAGAAAAAAAAAAGAAAAGGACAUAUUGACGAAGUCAGGC
This 470-nucleotide long non-coding RNA is filed under the name Prunus persica (peach). RNAcentral describes it as "long non-coding RNA (PPER_LNC003314)". The record is from RNAcentral. Lineage: Eukaryota; Viridiplantae; Streptophyta; Magnoliopsida; Rosales; Rosaceae.